ACCAGUUGGAAACGACUGUUAAUACCGCAUAAUGUCUACGGACCAAAGUGUGGGACCUUCGGGCCACAUGCUAUCGGAUGCGCCUACGUGGGAUUAGCUAGUUGGUGAGGUAAUGGCUCACCAAGGCGACGAUCUCUAGCUGGUUUGAGAGGAUGAUCAGCCACACUGGAACUGAGACACGGUCCAGACUCCUACGGGAGGCAGCAGUGGGGAAUAUUGGACAAUGGGCGCAAGCCUGAUCCAGCCAUGCCGCGUGUGUGAAGAAGGCCUUCGGGUUGUAAAGCACUUUCAGCGAGGAGGAAGAGUUGUGUGUUAAUAGUACACAGCUUUGACGUUACUCGCAGAAGAAGCACCGGCUAACUCUGUGCCAGCAGCCGCGGUAAUACAGAGGGUGCAAGCGUUAAUCGGAAUUACUGGGCGUAAAGCGCACGUAGGCGG
Molecule: ribosomal RNA, 438 nt
Filed under: uncultured Chromatiaceae bacterium
Lineage: Bacteria; Pseudomonadati; Pseudomonadota; Gammaproteobacteria; Chromatiales; Chromatiaceae
Description: bacterial SSU rRNA
Rfam family: Bacterial small subunit ribosomal RNA
Source: RNAcentral